This is a long non-coding RNA of Solanum tuberosum (potato), 472 nucleotides long. RefSeq lists it as uncharacterized. NCBI's taxonomy places the organism in Eukaryota, Viridiplantae, Streptophyta, Magnoliopsida, Solanales, Solanaceae. The transcript has 3 exons. The record is from RefSeq and is a predicted model, not a curated record.
AUCCUCUUCUCCAAUUAUUUUAAUUUUUAGCUUCUAUUAGAAUGGGAACUGGAAGUGAGUUUGACUCAAUGGUUGUCGCAACAAAAAAUGGAAUCAAUGCACCAUCGUCUCCGAGGGAAAAUAUGUGUCUUAGUUUGAUUGAACCUCAUGUUAAGGAUAAAGCAUCUUCUGAAGAAUUGAACAUGAUUUGACUCAAUACGUAGACACAUUAUCCCAGAGGAUGAAAUAUCAUAUAGGUUAUCCACUUAACCUUUAUUAUGAGCAUCAUGCUGCUUUAGCCCCACUCUUGCAAUUUCAUUUGAACAAUUUUGGAGACCCCUUUACUCAGCACCCUACAGAUUUCCAUUCAAAAGAUUUUGAAGUGGCUGUUUUAGAUUGGUUUGCACAACUCUGGGAAAUUGAGAAAGAUGAAUAUUGGGGAUACAUUACUAGUGGUGGCACUGAGGGCAAUCUCCAUGGCCUUUUGGUUGGG